AUGCCAGUAAGCGCGGGGAAGCGGGCAGCCGGUCACUUCUCAGCAGCGAACACCUGCGAGGGCCGUGGGGUCCCCGGAGGGCCUUCGGGGCCACGGGAAGGCGCCGGCCGGCCCUGGGCCACCUUCUCCACGGCCGCCUUCCCGUUUGCACUAUCGUGGUCCCCACGGGGCGGAGGACGAGCCCGUGAGCAGCAGGACUGUGAGGCCGUGGGUCGCCGCGGGCCCCUGGCUGGGCAUGGGAAAGACCCCCGAGACGCGGCUCUAGCCCAGGCAGGGCACCCAGGGGGUCCCAGCUCUGCGGAUGGGAUGAAGCUGCCCUACCAGGGCCCCCCAAGGGUUCGUGCCCGGCUGCGAGGACCAGUCGGCUCGCAGGGAGCGGGUUCUGACCCCGACUCUGCCGUGGGAGGCGGCUGUGCUGUGGCGCGGCCUGUGCGGGUACCAAACCCCACCUGCGCCCCGAGGGGCGCCCCGGACUGGAUCCCGGCAGGUGCAGGACGGUGGCCCCGCGGGCGAAGCGGGGCCCUGGGUGCUGAGGCGCCGUCGGGCAGCGCACACCCGCUGGGCAUGGGGCGCCUGGGGGGUGGGGGGUGCAGGUCCUGGGCGGGGCCGCAUCGGCCAGCUCCGCCGGGGCGAGAACCGGGGCCGCAGCUGCUCCCCAUCAGGCAGCGCCCGCCACCUCUCGCCGCCGCCCCUGCUCCCCACGGGCUCCAGCUGCAGGCCUGCGGGGGCGGGGCUGGGCUCCAGCUGCGGCUAAGGGGGGGGUGGGCUCCCUGGGGGAUGCAGCUGGGCCUGGCCGGGGACCACCGCCACCCCCCACCCCCGCGGCUUCCGGGAGCCCCUGCCAGGCAUGCAGGGGCCAGAAGGUGGGGACGGCUCAGCGGCCUGAGUAGCCCUGUCCCUCCCUGGUCCUUGGUGUCGGGCUGGACCACCCUGUGCAGGCCACAGCCCCACGUCCCCGCCAGAUGUGCUCCCUGCCCGAGGCCCUGGGGCUCCGUGCACAGCUGGGGGCUCCCGCAUGAAGGGUUCCCCUGGAGCUGGGUUGCGCGGGGGCCCCAAGUCCCCCACUGCGUGGGCCCUGCCGAAGGCCUGGGCGGCCCCCUGGACGGGGCGGGUCCCCUGCGGGACAGAACGUCCUCAGGAGCCGCCCUGCAGACCCUAUGGGCGGAGGGUCAGAGGGAACCGGGCGCUCCGGGGAAACGGCCCUCGGCUGCAGGGUCACCAUUGGGGUGCACGGCGGGUCAGUGCAGGCGCCCCGGCUGCCGGCAAAGGACAGACAGGGAGGACACGGCUGUAGAGGGAGCAUUUCUCUAA
This 1311-nucleotide long non-coding RNA is filed under the name Vulpes vulpes (red fox). RNAcentral describes it as "lncRNA (ENSVVUG00000013059.1)". Lineage: Eukaryota; Metazoa; Chordata; Mammalia; Carnivora; Canidae. The record is from RNAcentral.